Molecule: ribosomal RNA, 449 nt
Filed under: uncultured bacterium
Lineage: Bacteria
Description: partial 16S ribosomal RNA
Rfam family: Bacterial small subunit ribosomal RNA
Source: RNAcentral
GUCGAGAAUCUUUCACAAUGGGGGCAACCCUGAUGGAGCGACGCCGCGUGGAGGAUAAGGUCUUCGGAUUGUAAACUCCUGUCAUGCGUGAACAAGGUUGCUUGGUUAAUACCUGGGCAAAUUGAUGGUAACGCAAGAGGAAGAGACGGCUAACUCUGUGCCAGCAGCCGCGGUAAUACAGAGGUCUCAAGCGUUGUUCGGAAUCACUGGGCGUAAAGGGUGCGUAGGUGGCGUGGUAAGUCAGAUGUGAAAGCCCGGGGCUCAACCUCGGAACUGCAUCCGAUACUGCCAUGCUAGAGUACUGGAGAGGUGACUAGAAUUCUCGGUGUAGCAGUGAAAUGCAUAGAUAUCGAGAGGAAUACCAAAGGCGUAGGCAGGUCACUGGACAGUUACUGACACUGAGGCACGAAGGCCAGGGGAGCGAACGGGAUUAGAAACCCGGGUAGUCC